This 821-nucleotide ribosomal RNA is filed under the name Axinella parva. RNAcentral's name for it is "eukaryotic LSU rRNA". It matches the Rfam family "Eukaryotic large subunit ribosomal RNA", at positions 34 to 655 of the family's 3401-position model. Lineage: Eukaryota; Metazoa; Porifera; Demospongiae; Axinellida; Axinellidae. The record is from RNAcentral.
UUAAGCAUAUCAAUAAGCGGAGGAAGAGAAACUAACCAGAAUUCCCGCAGUAACGGCGAGCGAAGUGGGAAGAGCUCGAGCCUUUAAUCCCUGGCAAAGGUUGUCAGCGAAUUGUGGCCGGUAGAGGUGGCUUGGCCCUGUCCCGCGGCGUCAAAGUUGACCUGGAAGGGCACGUCGGAGAGGGUGAGAACCCCGUUGCUGAUCCCGCGGGUGUGGGCAGGCGCCGCCUUCCGAGAGUCGGGUUGUUUGGGAAUGCAGCCCAAAGUGGGUGGUAAACUCCAUCUAAAGCUAAAUACUGACACGAGACCGAUAGCGAACAAGUACCAUGAGGGAAAGGUGAAAAGUACUUUGAAAAGAGAGUCAAAGAGACCGCGAAACCGUUAGGAGGGAAGCGAAUGCAGCCUGAUGAUUCCGUUCGGGUUCAGGGAGGGUCAUGUGGGCGUCGAGGUCGGGUGGACUCGCGAGAGCGUCCCGUCUCGCUCGACCGGUGAUCCCUCUGCAUUCCCGUCUUGGAGUCGGCCAACGAGGGUGGCUGGUGGCCAGUGGAAGGCCGGAGGGUAGGUGCCUCCAGCGGCUUCCGGGUCUUUGGAGAACUUACAGCCUCCGGUGGUUGAGGUUGCUUGCUGCCGAGGAGGUGUGUGCGACCUUCGCACAAGUCAGCGCAGGCUCCGCAGGGGCCGGGUCGCUUCUGGCCGUGUGGAAGGCGCAGCAAGGGACUGCGUGCAGUGCCUGCUGACGCCGUGUCUGCUCGGGCGGGAGGCGGGCCACGACGUGCGCUGGAGUUGUUGGUGAUGAAGGAAUGGCUCCAUCGAAUCGGUCUU